RNAcentral lists this long non-coding RNA (615 nucleotides) under Fukomys damarensis (Damara mole-rat). RNAcentral describes it as "lncRNA (ENSFDAG00000025578.1)". The record is from RNAcentral. Lineage: Eukaryota; Metazoa; Chordata; Mammalia; Rodentia; Bathyergidae.
CUUAUAAGGCACAUUAUACUGUUACAGGGUCAGUAUUUUUGUUGUUGUUGUUGGCUUUUGUCCCAGCAGGGUUGACCUUCUCAAGGUGUUUUCCCUCCAGGGGCAGUGGAGGAAGAGUGCCGGGUGACAGAUACAAAUAAUCCUAAAGCAACAUUCUUUACAGAGCUCCAGCUCUUCCAGAACCACAGAAGACUUGCAGCAUGGUGGUCUGAUGAGCUGCCUGAAGUGUGCGUCACAGGUGGGCCCACCAGGAGCCCCUGCAGCUGAGCAGCCCUGCAGACGCAUGACAGCAUCUGGUGAAACUUCAUUUCCACACAGGUGUUGGUGACAUGGCUGAAUCCUGCAGAAAUGAGUGAUUCCCUUGCUUCUUUCCUUUGUGGCCUUGACUACGCAGCUCCAAGAGGGAAAGAGUGGAGAAAUUGCUAUUCCAGUACUCAGAGACAUGAGUCCAGUGGUUCUAGGAGGAUUCAGGAAUCAAAGAGGGACAACACAGCAGAGAUGGAGAUGAACGCGUCUCUCAUAGCAGAAAGAGGAGAGAUGCACAAAAAGCAAGGAUGUGGGAGCCCUCGUGAGGACUUCUCAGCAAGCCAGCCUACAUGCACUGUGAUGACCUGA